Long non-coding RNA from Quercus robur (English oak), 423 nucleotides. RefSeq lists it as uncharacterized. The record is from RefSeq and is a predicted model, not a curated record. The transcript has 4 exons. NCBI's taxonomy places the organism in Eukaryota, Viridiplantae, Streptophyta, Magnoliopsida, Fagales, Fagaceae.
AUUUACAAGUAAUGAUUGUACUUUUGCCCUUCUAAUGGACUUGCCAUAGAUGAUCACACUUGGAGGUGAUGCAGAACUUGAGCUAGUGGACUGUUUGGAUCCUUUCUCUGAAGGUGUUGUUUUCAGUGUCCGACCACCAAAGAAGAGCUGGAAGAAUAUUGCAAAUUUAUCGGGUGGUGAAAAGACCUUGAGUUCUUUAGCUCUUGUUUUCGCACUUCAUCACUACAAGCCAACCUCCCUUUAUGUAAUGGAUGAAAUUGAUGCUGCACUGGACUUCAAAAAUGUUUCGAUUGUGGGGGGCAUUAUGUGAAGGACCGAACAAAGGAUGCCCAGUUUAUAAUCAUAAGUCUUCGAAACAACGUGUUUGAAUUGGCCGAUUGACUUGUUGGGAUCUACAAAACUGAUAAUUGCACUAAGAGCAUU